UUGCAGAAAUUAGAGGGAGUAGAGAAAGAAGAAGAGAGGAUGAAGAAUAUGGACAAUGUUAUUCAUUGCUUACUUCACACAACGGCUAUAAGCCUAUUUAAACAAACUUUACAAAGUGAAACGGUCAUCUGUCUUAUCAAGGCAGAUAAAAAACAAAUAAUAUAAACAAUAUAAAUUUGAAUAAGAAAGGACUUGAGUGGGCUUGAUAAAACAAAGGCCCAAACAAGCUAAGUAUAGAACCAGCCCAAAGUGGAACCCAUCUCUUCAAGAUGAAGACCUGAGUCUUCACUAGGGCUUGCAAAAGAGAAACUCUUCUCAAGAAGAAUGAAGGCGCGAACCAGAGAGGAAGCUCAGAGACGCGCGAACACAGAGGGAGUUUAUCACCCCCCCUCAAGUUAAGCAUGGUCAAUUUUGAUGAUUGAGCAUGAUUAACUUGUCGGUAAGGAUUCGAAGACGAUGAGCUGAAACCGCUUUGGUUAAAAUGUCUCCUGGUUGUUCAUCAGUCUUAAGGUGUUGGUAAGAUCCCAGAAGUAUUUCCAGACAUCAUAGUAGUGAAUGUUGCAGCGGAUUGAUUGAUGGUGGAAUUAAGAUUCUUCGCACUCUUCAAGAUUUGAGAAAUCUCUUCAAGUGUCGUUGAUGAAGAUAUGUUGUAUUCACUGGCUGGAAUCUGUGAAUCAUCAGCAUAGCAUGAAGCUAUGGAUUGUAAUACUUCAGCAAUUGUAGUUGCUGGAGUCAUAUUGUUUCCACUUGUAGGAAUCAGUGUAUUUGGAUCAGUAACCUGCUCCGAUACCAUGAUAGUUUUUGUAGAUUGCUUUGUAGAAUUGCAGAAAUUAGAGGGAGUAGAGAAAGAAGAAGAGAGGAUGAAGAAUAUGGACAAUGUUAUUCAUUGCUUACUUCACACAACGGCUAUAAGCCUAUUUAAACAAACUUUACAAA
Molecule: long non-coding RNA, 936 nt
Organism: Tripterygium wilfordii
Lineage: Eukaryota; Viridiplantae; Streptophyta; Magnoliopsida; Celastrales; Celastraceae
Exons: 2
Source: RefSeq, a predicted model, not a curated record